GACGAACGCUGGCGGCGUGCUUAACACAUGCAAGUCGAACGGUGAAGCGCCUUCCUUUUUGGUGGGUGUGGAUGAGUGGCGAACGGGUGAGUAACACGUGAGUAACCUGCCCCCUUCUUCUGGAUAACCGCAUGAAAGUGUGGCUAAUACGGGAUAUUCUGGGUCUGUCGCAUGAUGGGUCUGGGAAAGAUAUUGUUUCGGUGGGGGAUGGGCUCGCGGCCUAUCAGCUUGUUGGUGGGGUGAUGGCCUACCAAGGCGGUGACGGGUAGCCGGCCUGAGAGGGUGGACGGUCACACUGGGACUGAGACACGGCCCAGACUCCUACGGGAGGCAGCAGGGGGGAAUAGUGCACAAUGGGCGCAAGCCUGAUGCAGCGACGCCGCGUGAGGGAUGGAGGCCUGCGGGUUGUGAACCUCUUUCGCCAGUGAAGCAGGACUGCCUCGUUUGUGGGUGGGUUGACGGUAGCUGGAUAAGAAGCGCCGGCUAACUACGUG
This 494-nucleotide ribosomal RNA is filed under the name uncultured bacterium. RNAcentral describes it as "partial 16S ribosomal RNA". It matches the Rfam family "Bacterial small subunit ribosomal RNA", at positions 28 to 507 of the family's 1533-position model. The record is from RNAcentral.